AGUGAACGCUGGCGGUAGGCCUAACACAUGCAAGUCGAACGGCAGCACAGUAAGAGCUUGCUCUUACGGGUGGCGGGCGGCGGACGGGUGAGGAAUACAUCGGAAUCUACUUUUUCGUGGGGGAUAACGUAGGGAAACUUACGCUAAUACCGCAUACGACCUACGGGUGAAAGCAGGGGAUCUUCGGACCUUGCGCGAUUGAAUGAGCCGAUGUCGGAUUAGCUAGUUGGCGGGGUAAAGGCCCACCAAGGCGACGAUCAGUAGCUGGUCUGAGAGGAUGAUCAGUCACACUGGAACUGAGACACGGUCCAGACUCCUACGGGAGGCAGCAGUGGGGAAUAUUGGACAAUGGGCGCAAGCCUGAUCCAGCCAUACCGCGUGGGUGAAGAAGGCCUUCGGGUUGUAAAGCCCUUUUGUUGGGAAAGAAAAGCAGCAGGUUAAUACCCCGCUGUUCUGACGGUACCCAAAGAAUAAGCACCGGCUAACUUCGUG
Molecule: ribosomal RNA, 492 nt
Filed under: uncultured bacterium
Lineage: Bacteria
Description: partial 16S ribosomal RNA
Rfam family: Bacterial small subunit ribosomal RNA
Source: RNAcentral